Molecule: ribosomal RNA, 496 nt
Filed under: uncultured bacterium
Lineage: Bacteria
Description: partial 16S ribosomal RNA
Rfam family: Bacterial small subunit ribosomal RNA
Source: RNAcentral
GAUGAACGCUGGCGGCGUGCCUAAUACAUGCAAGUCGAGCGAACAGACGAGGAGCUUGCUCCUCUGACGUUAGCGGCGGACGGGUGAGUAACACGUGGAUAACCUACCUAUAAGACUGGGAUAACUUCGGGAAACCGGAGCUAAUACCGGAUAAUAUAUUGAACCGCAUGGUUCAAUAGUGAAAGACGGUUUUGCUGUCACUUAUAGAUGGAUCCGCGCCGCAUUAGCUAGUUGGUAAGGUAACGGCUUACCAAGGCAACGAUGCGUAGCCGACCUGAGAGGGGGAUGGGCCACACUGGAAAUGAGACACGGCCCAGCCCCCCAGGGGGGGCAAGAGGAGGGAAUUUUCCGCAAGGGGGGAAAGCCUGACGGAGCAACGCCGGGGGGGUGAUGAAGGGUUUCGGAUCGUAAAACUCUGUUAUUAGGGAAGAAAAAAUGUGGAAGUAACUAUGCACGUUUUGACGGUACCUAAGAAAAAAGCCACGGCUAACUACGU